RNAcentral lists this ribosomal RNA (102 nucleotides) under Mariniblastus fucicola. Lineage: Bacteria; Pseudomonadati; Planctomycetota; Planctomycetia; Pirellulales; Pirellulaceae. The record is from RNAcentral.
CGGCGAACAUAUGAAAGUGGUCACACCUGUUCCCUUCCCGAACACAGAAGUUAAGCACUUUCAGCCGAUGAUAGUACUGCAAGUGCGAAAGUAGGUAUUGCC